GUUUAGAGACAGACAAGAUCCAGACACACAAAAAGGACGGCUGAAACAAGUGGCUGGGCAAAAGGCCAGCUUGAGAGGGAAGGAAAGAGGAGGAAAAGGGACGGGCUGCAGUUCCUGCCAAGAGUGCACUACCAGCUGACCAGAAAUCCCCUACUCCCUGGGGUCAAAAAGAAGGCAUCCCUUGGUUCCUAGGGUCAGAAAAACCCAUCACACUGGGGACCCACUGUAGACCUUUUAGUAGUAAUUCUGGUGUGAAGGCCCCUAGUCCCUGAGGUUUAAGGUGUCCCUUCAUCCCUAGGGUCAGAAAAACCCAUUGCACUGGGGACCCUUCACCCUUCACUAGUGACUCCAGCCCCCAUGGUACGAGACACCCAUCCAUGGAGGACUCCUGGGUGGCUUGACCUGGACGAGCGACUCUUAUCCACCACUCAGAUGUUUAUUGAGUCCUUGUUAUUGUGCUUCAUGUUUCCAAGGAAAAAGACAGAAUAGAAAGGGAAGUUUUCUUGGGAGGAAAAUGAAACUAAGUUUGGGCCACGAGGAGUAAGGGGGAGGAGUCCUUACCCGGCAGAGAAACGCAAAAGAAAUCUGUCUCGGCAGCUGCUUUGUUUGUCCACCAGGGUCAGGCAAUUCUCCUCUCCACACUGCCUCAGGUCCGAGAACGGGACAGGAAGGAUCCCGUCUCCUGGCUGGAUCACCAAAUUGUUACCAGAAUCAAAUAAGGUUCUUGCCUCUCACUGAUCAAGAAUGAGCAGAUUCAACUAAUUUAGAAGAUGCUUUUCCAACUCACAGUGAAUUUAGACGAGCUUACGUGUCUUGGCGUAUGCCUUAAUGGGUUGGUGCCUUCUUCUCCAAAGGGUAGAGUCAUUUCAAGCGAUUCAAAGUUCCAGCUCCAAAUGACGGUUGCUCAGGGAUUUCAACCCAUCCCCCAUCAAGAAGAGAGACAACAGCCCAAUAAAGGGCCAAUGUAGAUCCAAGAGAGAUACAAUGGUUUAACUCAGACAACACAAGAGUCCCACCCUCUAACUUAGGCCACUAUGCCCCCAUUCAGCAAAGACACGAUGCCCUGUUUUCUAAGACUGAGAAACUCACAACAAAAAGCGGGGAUUGGAAAAGGCUGCUCAACUGUAUCUUGAACAGAAUCUGCACCAUUUUUCUUUUCCCUAGACUGUGUCUGUCUCCAGGUGUGAUUUUGUUGUUUUAGUGGGUUCUCCUCUAAAAGUUAGAUGUUAACCCACGUUUCCCCUAGAACUGUGGAAAAUAAGUGAUAUCAAUCUAAGCCUGUCAAACAGGAAGGAGCAUGGCACCAGCCACCCCCUAGGCUGAUGGAAUAAUGGGAGGAAAAGACCAAUAUGUUUGAAAUACGACCACCGAAACCAAACAGAAGAAAGAGAAUGCACAUUGCACAAGUUCCUAAAACUUACGGCCCCUUUUCCCGAUAAAACCCCAGCUGGUCUACAGUUCCUACAGACAGACAGCUUUAGGAGGAGAUCAGUCCCCUCUGUCUCCAUAUACUGGUAUAUGAUAGAGCUCUUGCCACCCACCUCACCCCGUCUCAAGAACUGUUUGCAGCAGGUGGCUCAAACUCACGAAACUGCGGUAACAGUCUUGUCAUGAAGGAUGUGGUGGACUCCAGGGCAGAGCAAGAGGAAGAGGACUGGGGAAGAGGCAUGCGAUGAGCAAAGGAGCAGACCACUGCAGCGGGCACUCGGCCACCGGGGCAUAAGGCUAUCUGUCCCAUGGACAUCGGCCAGCCUCUACCUUCAGCCACACCUGGGCUUGGACAAUGAUCCCCUGCGCAGAGUAGCCUAAGCAACAGUAGGGGACACAAAACCUCUCUCUCAACAAAGCUGGUCCACCUGUGACAGCUGCUGAGUGCCUGUCCUGUCUGUCAGGAGCAGAGGGCGAGCCCUCAAUGUGGAGCCACCAGCAGGGAGGCCGAUCAGAGCCUGUAGGCAGUUGGCCAACUAGGUCUUCCACUCUGGAGGGGACAGUGAUGCUUCCAGACCACAAUGACAGCAACUCCAGACACAGGUUUGCCUUCCCUGCCACAGCACCCGUGCUGGCACCACUGUCCAGGGCCCAAAGAUCACUGCUGUACACCAGGGAUCCCAUUUUAUAGAAAAUGAGUGAAGCAGUGCUCUCAAUCCACUGGCCUCCACACACGCAUCCAUGAAGCAGCCAGUCCCAUAACUGCAGAGGCCGGCACCCCCGGCAGGCCCAGGGUGUGGACCUCGCCUGUGGGUAUGUGUCGAGACAACAGCUGCCAAUAGAGCGGCAUCCCCCACAGCUUGUGGACAAGGGUCCAUGCGCUGUGACUCCCUGUGUCCUGCUUGCAGCGGAUUUGCUUCCUGAUCCUGUAACUUUUGCCACUGCAAAAAACCAAGGCUGUGGAUCCUGUAAAAUCUAAAAGAUUUAAAUAAGGCCCUUUGCAGAAAACACCUGCUGUCUCAGGCUGGGCCCUCUAGAGAAGCAAACCCAGUGAAGGGUAUAUAUAAAACUUAUAAACAUACAUAUAUAUAUAGAGAGAAAUAGAUUCAUGUCAAGGAAAUGGCUUACAUGGUUAUAGAGG
Long non-coding RNA from Loxodonta africana (African savanna elephant), 2569 nucleotides. RefSeq lists it as uncharacterized. Lineage: Eukaryota; Metazoa; Chordata; Mammalia; Proboscidea; Elephantidae. The record is from RefSeq and is a predicted model, not a curated record. The transcript is spliced from 3 exons.